CUCCAAAAAUUCAGCGGUAAUACGGAGGGGGUUAGCGUUGUUCGGAAAUUACUGGGCGUAAAGCGUACGUAGGCGGAUCUUAAAGUUGGUUUUGGAAUCCCGGGGCUCAACCCCGGAACUGCCUCCAAAACUCCUGGUCUUGAGUUCGAGAGAUGUGAGUGGAAUUUCAAUUGUAGAGGUGAAAUUCGUAGAUAUUUGGAGGAACACCAGUGGCGAAGGCGGCUCACUGGCUCGAUACUGACGCUGAGGUACGAAAGUGUGGGGAGCAAACAGGAUUAGAUACCCUGGUAGUCCACACCGUAAACGAUGAAUGCCAGUCGUCGGGCAGUAUGCUGUUCGGUGACACACCUAACGGAUUAAGCAUUCCGCCUGGGGAGUACGGUCGCAAGAUUAAAACUCAAAGGAAUUGACGGGGGCCCGCACAAGCGGUG
RNAcentral lists this ribosomal RNA (431 nucleotides) under uncultured bacterium. RNAcentral's name for it is "bacterial SSU rRNA". It matches the Rfam family "Bacterial small subunit ribosomal RNA", at positions 501 to 934 of the family's 1533-position model. The record is from RNAcentral.